Molecule: ribosomal RNA, 301 nt
Filed under: Eriococcus araucariae
Lineage: Eukaryota; Metazoa; Arthropoda; Insecta; Hemiptera; Eriococcidae
Description: partial 28S ribosomal RNA
Source: RNAcentral
GAGCCCGUGAAUCCGGGCGGCGGAAUUCAGAAUCGACGGGCUCUCGGCGAGUAGUCCGUCUGUUUGAUAUUUCCGUCGCCGUUUGCACGGACGUCGCGACCUGUUCGACGUCGGUCUUUAGUUGCGCAGGAACCGCGAUCGAGUUCGUUGUCGGAGCGUGCGCUCGCCGUACGCCUCGACGGCGAAGACGCGGACUUCUGGCCGACUGGUCGGACAGUAUGUCAACGGGGGUGUCCGGCGUCGUCCUCUCGCGGUGGCGCCGGUGCCGGUCAGCGACGAAUCUUCGGGUCUCUUUCCGACC